Molecule: long non-coding RNA, 839 nt
Filed under: Anas zonorhyncha (Eastern spot-billed duck)
Lineage: Eukaryota; Metazoa; Chordata; Aves; Anseriformes; Anatidae
Description: lncRNA (ENSAZOG00000003279.1)
Source: RNAcentral
UUUUCCUAUAUCUUGUAUUGUUCUGUUUAAUGAUAAAUCCUUACAGAAUCUUGGUGUCAAAAGCUAGUUAUCCUCACUGCAGUUUAAGCAUGAAAUUCCUAGCUGGAAACUUUGUAGCCUUGCAUCCUGUCCUUCAUCAAUGAUACCUGAGAGUUAAUUGUUGUGCGUUAAGAAACUCAUUUGCAAGCUGGUCUGCAAUUGAGGGAUACAGUUCCCUGUUCAGAGAAUUUGAUAUCUGAUUUUGUGACUUGUGUCACAAAACUGAAAAAAACAAUCUGUAAUGAAGGUUUUAUGUUUGGUUACCACCCUUUUAGACUGUUACAGAACUAGAAAACACCUUUGAGUUACAGUGAAACUAUUGCUAGGGUUGCAACCAUGGUUGCGAUGGGCCCCAGCAGCCCCUUCCCUGAUCAGCCACACCUGGGAUGCCCCAGCAUCCUCUGCCCAUGGCCAGAGCCCUAUUUAAGUUUAGCCCCAGAAAGGUGCUAUUGUUUGCUGCAAGUUCUGUAGGACUGAUGGGAACACAGCUUGCAUUGCAACUGCCCUUGGGUCCCAGUGCCAAUCCUAUCUUCCCUGACAGACACUUGUGCAAGGCUGAGAGACAGCAAAGUGCGUGGAGAAGGGCAUCAAGCAUAGUUCAAAUAAGAAGGGCCCUGCAAGACAAGAAUUUCUAUGCCAGCAGGCAGAUGGGCUUCCAAACUGAGCAACUUCAAGUGCUGGUCAGCGUACUCUACUUCAUGAAGCAUGCCAUGGAGUUCUGGCCUUUGACACAGCAUCAAUGCCAGCUGUAAUGUAUAGCACUUGAGAAUGAUACCAAGUAGGAGGGAAGAUUCACUCAG